This 1411-nucleotide ribosomal RNA is filed under the name Bacillus subtilis. Its description in RNAcentral is "bacterial SSU rRNA". It matches the Rfam family "Bacterial small subunit ribosomal RNA". The record is from RNAcentral. Lineage: Bacteria; Bacillati; Bacillota; Bacilli; Caryophanales; Bacillaceae.
AAGUCGAGCGGACAGAUGGGAGCUUGCUCCCUGAUGUUAGCGGCGGACGGGUGAGUAACACGUGGGUAACCUGCCUGUAAGACUGGGAUAACUCCGGGAAACCGGGGCUAAUACCGGAUGCUUGUUUGAACCGCAUGGUUCAAACAUAAAAGGUGGCUUCGGCUACCACUUACAGAUGGACCCGCGGCGCAUUAGCUAGUUGGUGAGGUAAUGGCUCACCAAGGCAACGAUGCGUAGCCGACCUGAGAGGGUGAUCGGCCGGACUGAGACACGGAUGCGCCCCAGACUCCUACGGGAGGCAGCAGUAGGGAAUCUUCCGCAAUGGACGAAAGUCUGACGGAGCAACGCCGCGUGAAGGUUUUAUGCCUAGAGCGUACAGCUCUGUUGUUAGGGAAGAACAAGUACCGUUCGAAUAGGGCCCGGUACCUUGACGGUACCUAACCAGAAAGCCACGGCUAACUACGUGCCAGCAGCCGCGGUAAUACGUAGGUGGCAAGCGUUGUCCGGAAUUAUUGGGCGUAAAGGGCUCGCAGGCGGUUUCUUAAGUCUGAUGUGAAAGCCCCCGGCUCAACCGGGGAGGGUCAUUGGAAACUGGGGAACUUGAGUGCAGAAGAGGAGAGUGGAAUUCCACGUGUAGCGGUGAAAUGCGUAGAGAUGUGGAGGAACACCAGUGGCGAAGGCGACUCUCUGGUCUGUAACUGACGCUGAGGAGCGAAAGCGUGGGGAGCGAACAGGAUUAGAUACCCUGGUAGUCCACGCCGUAAACGAUGAGUGCUAAGUGUUAGGGGGUCCCUUAGUGCUGCAGCUAACGCAUUAAGCACUCCGCCUGGGGAGAAGUACUACGGUCGCAAGACUGAAACUCAAAGGAAUUGACGGGGGCCCGCACAAGCGGUGGAGCAUGUGGUUUAAUUCGAAGCAACGCGAAGAACCUUACCAGGUCUUGACAUCCUCUGACAAUCCUAGAGAUAGGACGUCCCCUUCGGGGGCAGAGUGACAGGUGGUGCAUGGUUGUCGUCAGCUCGUGUCGUGAGAUGUUGGGUUAAGUCCCGCAACGAGCGCAACCCUUGAUCUUAGUUGCCAGUUGGGCACUCUAAGGUGACUGCCGGUGACAAAGUACAACCCGGAGGAAGGUGGGGAUGACGUCAAAUCAUCAUGCCCCUUAUGACCUGGGCUACACACGUGCUACAAUGGACAGAACAAAGGGCAGCGAAACCGCGAGGUUAAGCCAAUCCCACAAAUCUGUUCUCAGUUCGGAUCGCAGUCUGCAACUCGACUGCGUGAAUCGCUAGUAAUCGCGGAUCAGCAUGCCGCGGUGAAUACGUUGGCCUUACCCGGGCCUUGUACACACCGCCCGUCACACCACGAGAGUUUGUAAAGUCGGUGAGGUAACCUUCCUUAAGUUAGGAGCCAG